UACGUAGGGGGCUAGCGUUGUCCGGAUUUAUUGGGCGUAAAGAGCGUGUAGGCGGCCAGGUAGGUCUGCUGUGAAAACUCGAGGCUCAACCUCGAGACGUCGGCGGAAACCAUCUGGCUAGAGUCCGGAAGAGGAGAGUGGAAUUCCUGGUGUAGCGGUGAAAUGCGCAGAUAUCAGGAAGAACACCCGUGGCGAAGGCGGCUCUCUAGUACGGUACUGACGCUGAGACGCGAAAGCGUGGGGAGCGAACAGG
RNAcentral lists this ribosomal RNA (253 nucleotides) under uncultured bacterium. RNAcentral's name for it is "partial 16S ribosomal RNA". It matches the Rfam family "Bacterial small subunit ribosomal RNA", at positions 524 to 776 of the family's 1533-position model. The record is from RNAcentral.